AUUGAACGCUGGCGGAAUGCUUUACACAUGCAAGUCGAACGGCAGCACGGGAGCUUGCUCCUGGUGGCGAGUGGCGAACGGGUGAGUAAUGCGUCGGAACGUACCGAGUAAUGGGGGAUAACGCAGCGAAAGCUGUGCUAAUACCGCAUACGCCCUGAGGGGGAAAGCAGGGGAUCGCAAGACCUUGCGUUAUUCGAGCGGCCGACGUCUGAUUAGCUAGUUGGUGGGGUAAAGGCCUACCAAGGCGACGAUCAGUAGCGGGUCUGAGAGGAUGAUCCGCCACACUGGAACUGAGACACGGUCCAGACUCCUACGGGAGGCAG
Molecule: ribosomal RNA, 323 nt
Filed under: uncultured Pseudomonadota bacterium
Lineage: Bacteria; Pseudomonadati; Pseudomonadota
Description: bacterial SSU rRNA
Rfam family: Bacterial small subunit ribosomal RNA
Source: RNAcentral